GAUGAACGCUGGCGGCGUGCCUAAUACAUGCAAGUCGAGCGAACGGACGAGAAGCUUGCUUCUCUGAUGUUAGCGGCGGACGGGUGAGUAACACGUGGAUAACCUACCUAUAAGACUGGGAUAACUUCGGGAAACCGGAGCUAAUACCGGAUAAUAUUUUGAACCGCAUGGUUCAAAAGUGAAAGACGGCCUUUCUGUCACUUAUAGAUGGAUCCGCGCUGCAUUAGCUAGUUGGUAAGGUAACGGCUUACCAAGGCAACGAUGCAUAGCCGACCUGAGAGGGUGAUCGGCCACACUGGAACUGAGACACGGUCCAGACUCCUACGGGAGGCAGCAGUAGGGAAUCUUCCGCAAUGGGCGAAAGCCUGACGGAGCAACGCCGCGUGAGUGAUGAAGGUCUUCGGAUCGUAAAACUCUGUUAUUAGGGAAGAACAUAUGUGUAAGUAACUGUGCACAUCUUGACGGUACCUAAUCAGAAAGCCACGGCUAACUACGUG
This 497-nucleotide ribosomal RNA is filed under the name uncultured bacterium. RNAcentral describes it as "partial 16S ribosomal RNA". It matches the Rfam family "Bacterial small subunit ribosomal RNA", at positions 28 to 507 of the family's 1533-position model. The record is from RNAcentral.